RNAcentral lists this unclassified non-coding RNA (311 nucleotides) under Anthorrhiza areolata. Its description in RNAcentral is "partial external transcribed spacer". The stretch from base 247 to 311 matches the Rfam family "Eukaryotic small subunit ribosomal RNA", at positions 1 to 65 of the family's 1831-position model. Lineage: Eukaryota; Viridiplantae; Streptophyta; Magnoliopsida; Gentianales; Rubiaceae. The record is from RNAcentral.
UCUGCCCGUUAACGCGGUGCGGUUUCGGGUGAACCUCAAAGCGAAAUUCGUGUUCCGACUUGCAUACAAUUGCUAUGCAGUCACGGCCCAUGAGUGUAACUUGUCUUCGGGGAUGCAGAAAACAUCGAGGGUAAGGGGUCUUUGACCUCUCUAUUUGCCUCAAAUCGGCAUUAAACGCCCCAUUCGAUUGACUUUCAGUGUCGCACAGACAUUUCCGUCUUGCGACCUAAUGUCACCGAGGAAUGCUACCUGGUUGAUCCUGCCAGUAGUCAUAUGCUUGUCUCAAAGAUUAAGCCAUGCAUGUGUAAGUA